UGCAAGUCGAGGGGAAACGACAUCGAAAGCUUGCUUUUGAUGGGCGUCGACCGGCGCACGGGUGAGUAACGCGUAUCCAACCUGCCCACCACUUGGGGAUAACCUUUCGAAAGAAAGAUUAAUACCCGAUGGCAUAAUUCUUCCGCAUGGUAGAAUUAUUAAAGAAUUUCGGUCAUCGAUGGGGAUGCGUUCCAUUAGGUUGUUGGCGGGGUAACGGCCCACCAAGGCAACGAUCAGUAGGGGGUUCUGAGAGGAAGAUCCCCCACAUUGGAACUGAGACACGGUCCAAACUCC
RNAcentral lists this ribosomal RNA (294 nucleotides) under uncultured Bacteroidales bacterium. RNAcentral describes it as "partial 16S ribosomal RNA". It matches the Rfam family "Bacterial small subunit ribosomal RNA", at positions 56 to 339 of the family's 1533-position model. The record is from RNAcentral. Lineage: Bacteria; Pseudomonadati; Bacteroidota; Bacteroidia; Bacteroidales.